CCCUACGGGGCGCAGCAGGCGCGAAACCUUCGCACUGUGCGAAAGCGCGAUGAGGGGAUCCCAAGUGCUUGCUCGUAAGAGUAAGCUGUUUUUAUGUCUAAAAAGCAUAGAGAGUAAGGGCUGGGUAAGACGGGUGCCAGCCGCCGCGGUAAUACCUGCAGCUCAAGUGGUGAUCAUUAUUAUUGGGCCUAAAACGUCCGUAGCCGGUUUGGUAAAUGCCUGGGUAAAUCGUGUAGCUUAACUAUACGAAUUCCGGGUAGACUGCCAAACUUGAGACCGGGAGAGGCUAGAGGUACUCCUGGGGUAGAGGUGAAAUUCUGUAAUCCUAGGGGGACCACCCGUGGCGAAGGCGUCUAGCUAGAACGGGUCUGACGGUCAGGGACGAAGCCCUGGGGCGCGAACCGGAUUAGGUACCCGGGUAGUCCAGGGUGUAAACGCUGCUUGCUUGAUGUUAGUUGGGCUCCGAGCCCGAUUAGUGUCGGAGAGAAGUUGUUAAGCAAGCUGCCUGGGAAGUACGGUCGCAAGACUGAAACUUAAAGGAAUUGGCGGGGGAGCAA
Molecule: ribosomal RNA, 557 nt
Filed under: uncultured archaeon
Lineage: Archaea
Description: bacterial SSU rRNA
Rfam family: Archaeal small subunit ribosomal RNA
Source: RNAcentral